GUUGACCUCGGAUCAGGUAGGAAUACCCGCUGAACUUAAGCAUAUCAAUAAGCGGAGGAAAAGAAACCAACAGGGAUUGCCCCAGUAACGGCGAGUGAAGCGGCAACAGCUCAAAUUUGAAAUCUGGCCCCAGGCCCGAGUUGUAAUUUGCAGAGGAUGCUUUUGGCGCGGUGCCUUCCGAGUUCCCUGGAACGGGACGCCAUAGAGGGUGAGAGCCCCGUACGGUUGGACACCAAGCCUUUGUAAAGCUCCUUCGACGAGUCGAGUAGUUUGGGAAUGCUGCUCUAAAUGGGAGGUACAUUUCUUCUAAAGCUAAAUAUUGGCCAGAGACCGAUAGCGCACAAGUAGAGUGAUCGAAAGAUGAAAAGCACUUUGAAAAGAGGGUUAAACAGCACGUGAAAUUGUUAAAAGGGAAGCGCUUGUGACCAGACUUGCGUCCGGUGAAUCACCCAGCUCUCGCGGCUGGGGCACUUCGCCGGCACAGGCCAGCAUCAGCUUGCCGUCGGGGACAAAAGCUUCAGGAACGUGGCUCCUCUCGGGGAGUGUUAUAGCCUGUUGCAUAAUACCCUUCGGCGGGCUGAGGUACGCGCUCCGCAAGGAUGCUGGCGUAAUGGUCAUCAGCGAC
RNAcentral lists this ribosomal RNA (625 nucleotides) under Colletotrichum acutatum. Its description in RNAcentral is "eukaryotic LSU rRNA". It matches the Rfam family "Eukaryotic large subunit ribosomal RNA", at positions 1 to 648 of the family's 3401-position model. The record is from RNAcentral. Lineage: Eukaryota; Fungi; Ascomycota; Sordariomycetes; Glomerellales; Glomerellaceae. RNAcentral also lists the same sequence under 1 other name.